Musa acuminata AAA Group (dessert banana) is the source of this 1140-nucleotide RNA transcript. RefSeq lists it as uncharacterized. The transcript has 5 exons. Lineage: Eukaryota; Viridiplantae; Streptophyta; Magnoliopsida; Zingiberales; Musaceae. The record is from RefSeq and is a predicted model, not a curated record.
GGACGGGCACGGCCAAACCGCAGGAAACCCCACCGCCACAAUGGAGUUCUCGACCCGCGACGUCGGUGCGUGGAGUGAGUCGCUCUCUGCCUACGAGGGCCGCCUCGCCCUCCUCCGGAAGCCUGACCUCCUCCCCCUCGAUGCCUUCUACCGGGCAGAGCUCCCCGUCCUCCUCCGCCGCAGGGAACCCCGCCCCUUCCUCACCAAGCCGGAACUCCGCCGCAUCAUGCAGUGGAAGCUCUCCCGAGGCAAAUGGAGGCCUCGGUUGCUGGAUUACGUGUCGUCGCUGGACGAAGCGUCGGUGGACUCCGCCUCGCGGAGGGCGUUCGCGGCGCUCCCGGACCUCUCUAAGGCCGUCUCGGAGCUUACGGUGCUGAAGGGAGUCGGGCCGGCGACGGCGUCCGCUGUUUUAGCUGCCUACGCGCCGGAUGUCGCGCCUUUCAUGUCCGAUGAGGCUAUGAUGGCCGCGAUGGGGAACGUGAAAGAGUAUACUUUGAAGCAGUAUCUUGCAUUUGCCGAGAAGCUACAGACGAAGGCAAAGGAUUUAAGUGCUGAAGGGAUUAUUUUCACUCCUUCUGAUGUCGAGAGAGCUUUGUGGAGCUCAGCAGUAGGUUCCAAGUUGCUGAAGUCUCCACCAAAAGAUGAUUUAGAGGCUGGUGCCAGGAAAAGCAUUAAGAGGAAAAGAAAAUUUUGACUCGAGCUAAAGUAUCUUUCACUUGCUGUGGAGCAACUAGACAUAACUUCCAGUACACUUGGUUAAUGAGAUGGAAUUUUCCCUGGACUUCAAAUGGUUCCAGGAUUUGGCAAUUGCUACCUGUUAACCAUGUCAGCUAGUUGGCUGUGAAGCCUUUGACUCCUUUUGGUGAUUAGAAGUGGAUAUAUAUACCUUGCGUCUGUUUAUGAGUGUGAAACAGAGACAGGAAAGCAUUCCAGCUGAACUGUUGGCUUGAGAUUACACUUAUAAUCAUCUCAUGUUGUUUUAUUGAUUUAGGUAUAGAUCAAUUUUAUAGUUAAUGAAGGAAAUGUAAACCUCUAUUUUGGAUGACUAAGAAAUCAGAAAUCUUGUUUUCAAGUCCUUUAUAUGCUAAAAACCUUCUUGUAGGUAUUGUAUUUUAAACUAAAAAGUCCACAUUUCACUCA